GACGAACGCUGGCGGCGUGCUUAACACAUGCAAGUCGAACGGAAAGGCCCUGCUUUUGUGGGGUGCUCGAGUGGCGAACGGGUGAGUAACACGUGAGUAACCUGCCCUUGCCUUUGGGAUAACUUCAGGAAACUGGGGCUAAUACCGGAUAGGAGCUCCUGCUGCAUGGUGGGGGUUGGUAAGUUUCGGCGGAUGGGGAUGGACUCGCGGCUUCUCAGCGUGUUGGUGGGGUAGUGGCUUACCACGGCUUUGACGGGUAGCCGGCCUGAGAGGGUGACCGGCCACAGUGGGAUUGAGAAGCGGGCCGGACGCCUACGGGAGGCAGCAGUGAGGAAUAGUGCAAAAUGGGCGGAGGCCUGAUGCAGCAACGCCGCGUGGGAGAUGACGGCCUUCGGGUUGGAAACCGCUUUCGCCUGUGACGAAGCGUGAGUGACGGUAAUGGGUAAGGAAGCAACGGCUAACUACGUG
This 468-nucleotide ribosomal RNA is filed under the name uncultured bacterium. Its description in RNAcentral is "partial 16S ribosomal RNA". It matches the Rfam family "Bacterial small subunit ribosomal RNA", at positions 28 to 507 of the family's 1533-position model. The record is from RNAcentral.